This 4400-nucleotide long non-coding RNA is filed under the name Eucalyptus grandis. RNAcentral's name for it is "long non-coding RNA (EGRA_LNC006533)". The record is from RNAcentral. Lineage: Eukaryota; Viridiplantae; Streptophyta; Magnoliopsida; Myrtales; Myrtaceae.
AAAGGCAUGGUUGCUGGAAGGUUAAAGGUGGAUUUUUGGGUGGUUCAAAGAGGACAAACCUGAGCGAGAGAGGAAGACGGAGAGGGAAUGAGAAGGAGAGAGGGCAUGGUUGUUGGAGGUUAAAGGUGGAUUUUUGGGUGGUUUAGAGAGGAUAGACCUGAGCGAGAGAGGAAGACGGAGAAGGAAUGAGAAGAAGAGAAGGCCGAGAUUUGCCUCUGUUGAGCCUUGCCUAGUCAUCCUCGAUGCAAAUCUACCCCUCGCCGGCAACACCAAACCCGUGACCCCCUUUUCCAUGGUUCUGAGUUUUCCGAUGAGUUUCCCCAUUUCUUUUGGUUCAAUUUGGUCGAUUUCCCAAGGAUUCCAACAUGGUGGUGUGCAAGGCCACAGAACGUAGUCCAGGUAGUGAGCAUUGCUGACCCUUUUUGUCUUUACCCUGUUUUGCCUUGUUUCAUGCUCGUUCGGAUUGGGAUUUGUUGUGGCCCAGCUCCCGCGAGUGCCGAUCUCACUGGUCUUGCACUUGGCCAUUUUUUGUCUUGACUGGUUGAUUGUUGUAAAUUCGAGUGCGAAUCUAAGUCCGAAUGGGUCAGUCGUCCCCAUAAUUAGAAGCUCCCCACGUGUUCGACGAAAGUGCCAAGUCAGAUCCAAGAGAGGUUUGCUUGCCUUUCCCCGUCCUCUGCACUGGGUUAGUUGCUUUUCGGUUGUAUCCACGGGAUUAGGGUUUUGGCUUCCAUGGAGAGGCCAAAAAGUGGCAAUGAAUGAUGGCCACUUGCAAUGACCACGGCUGUGAAAGGAGGACAGACCGACUAAGUUGAGGAGUGGUCUCGAGACCUUCGCUAGAAGCGGUUGACCGAACCAACCAAUUGUUGGUGGCUUGUGGUGGCAAUGGCCCUUCUUUAGCGUGGGCAACCGCGGUGGUGCAACACCACUGUAGUGACCAAGAGAGGAGAUUGAGGACUUUUUUGGGGUCAAGCUUAAGGUUUGGAGGGCUAGCCCGGCUCCAUUCGCUUCUCCGAAGCGAGAAAACAUUGGCUGCAGCUCUAACUCCAACGUGUCUUCCUCUGAGUCCAUUCACCGGGCGACACCUGUCCAACGACAGCCACGCUAGAGUCCGAGCUCACGGUUAUUUUCGAAAAGGAACGGAAACUUAAUUUCUCUCUCCUCCUCUCUCCUCCUGCACGUCUUGUCCUAUCAUUCAGCUCUGCAAGGAACGGAACUCCCCUGGAAGGAAAUAUUUGGUGGAGUCUUCACGUUCCCACGAAAAUUUCGAACGCAACUCUCUCUCCCUCUCUCUAUUGAACUGAACCCCUUUGUUCUUUGCUUUUCCUCCGACGAAUGAGGGAGGCCGCCGUCCGACGAACCACGGGCUUGAAUCUUUGGCUUUUGUGCUCGGCGGGUGCGGGUGGUCUCGGCCAUUUCGAGCUCGGUGGUGAGCUCGUCGAGAUCUUCGGUGCGCUCCAUUGCCGUUCUUCCUCUGACGAACGAGGGAGGCCGCCGUUCGACGAACCAUGCCGCCGUGAAUCUCCGGCUUUUGUGCUCGGCAGGUGCGGGUGGUGAGGGUGGUCUCGGCCAUUUCGAGCUCAGUGGUGAGCCUGUCGAGAUCCUCAGUGUGCUCCAUUGCCGCUCUUCCUUCGACGGAUGAGGGAGGCCGCCGUCCGACGAACCACGCCGCCUUGAAUCUUCAGCUUUUGUGCUCGGUGGGUGCGGGUGGUGUUGCACGUAUUUGCCUGUUUAGAUAUUAAGGGUCGCGCACUCUUCUGCCCUCGCGUGGCAGAGCGCGGUCUGCAUUCCGAUCGCGAAGCGGGCGAGCGGGUGAGCAGCGACCAGCAUUCCGAUUGUGUGCCCCUGCCUGACUCCAACUAUUACUCCUACGUCUUUGACGACUCCUCUGACUCCGAAGACGACAGUGGCAGCAGCAGCAGUGAAACCGCCGUCUUUUACGACGACUACAGCUACGACUCGCAUUCCGAUUGAUUGAUCCGGGUGGUCUCCUCCGUGAGGACCAUUAUCUUUUCUAUGGUGUUACAUUGAUCAAACUGCAGAAGUUGUCGUACUUUUGCAAAUUGUAUGAGUUCUACCCAGCUUAAGGUAGCAAAUACUUGAGAUAUUGUUGUGUGAAGAGCUCAUGAUGUUCUUUCUCAUGCAAAUCGUAACUAUUGUCAUACUCAUGAUACAUUCUUUCCCAUUUCAUAUGAGGGGUUUCGCAUCUAUUCAAGGAAUCCUCUUAACCAAUUAAAAGUACAAAGCCUUGCUUUUGCCUAGCCAUAUCUUUGAUGAUCAUUGUUUUCUUGGAGCCGCUUCGCUUUUUUGGAGUUUCUAGUAACCUUGGACACGUGGACUGUGCAAGUACUGAGAUGAGUGAACAGAAGGGUCGAAGGUGCACCAUGAGAGAAAAUAAGUUUCCACGUGUAAUUUCUCCACUUAAGUCAUAAUAAGGGACGGGCUCUUUAUCCUUUGAGUUGUCUUUCAAGCAGAUAUUUCCUAGGCACAUGAAGGGCAAUGUUCAAUGUAUUGUGUCUGGGAGCAUUAUUCAACAAUCUGAUAGAAAAAAACUGCUUGAAAGUGCUAUCUCUGAUUACUUUCGUGUGGGAGAAUGGUGGCUUCACUCUUAUUGUAAAUUUUCCAUUGCUUUAAGACUUAUAGCAUCUCAUCAUGAAGCCGCCAACUAAGGGAAACUAUCUUGUGCUUAUGAUAAUACGUGUAGUGAUCUUGCACUUUUAUGAUAUUAAGUGGAAGCACAUGUUCUUAGUUGCAUUGUUUAUGCAGCUAAUACCUUCUCUUAAUUGGGGUUGAUUUCUGCAAUAUUGAUAGGCUGUUCAAAUCUCGCAUGUUGAAAUUCCUUUUGCUGUUUAUAUAUUUGAAUGAUACAUUGACCUUGGCUUGAUUUUCAGGUUGUUUGCCUACUGCUUUUGGUCGCCGAUUUAAUAGCAUAUGCCCUUUGGCUUUUGUGCUCGGCGGGUGUGGGUGGUGAGUGGGGUCUCGGCUAUUUUGAGCUUGGUGGCGAGCUCGUCCGGAUCCUUUUCUUUUGAACGUAAGUGUUUCUUUCUUCCUUUAUUAUUGCCAUAAAAGGGUGUUGCACGUAUUUGCCCAUUCAAAUACUAAGGGUCGUGCACUCUACAUUACAAAGUAUCAUCAGGUUGCGCACUAUAUGUAGCCUGCUUUAUACCAAUACCGAUGUUAUAAAACCCUACUCUAAAAGGAUGAAGAAUAUCAUCAUCAAGAAUAAAUAAAAUCCGAUGAAACUGCACCUUUAUCGCCUCCAUUGUCUACAUCUACCUAGGCUUCCUCUGGCCAUUGCUUGCAACAAAAAUAUUGCUGAGUUUAAUUUUAUUUCAACUUGCAUAGAAUUUUUUAGCUGCGAAUUUUUGCAUUCGAAAAUUAGGUUUGAGGUCGAUUUGGUGGUUUGCUGCCUGUCUCAAUUUGCUUAAUCUAGAAUACAGGAAUUCGACAAUCUCAGAUACUUAUCAUCGUAAAUUCUAAAUGGUUGAUGUUAGGUUAAGCAUAAAAAAGGAAAAAGGACAUCAUUACCUUGCUUGAAUGAUUAAAAAAAAUUGGGUAUGAUGAAGCUGCACCUUUUCUAGGUGACCUUAUCUCCUGCAUUGUCUAUUAAGCUAUUCCAAUUUAUAGUCCCAUGAAGUGAUCUUUGCAAUUUAAGUGACUUAUAGUGUUGUGUGGGGCUGACAUAGAUGAAGCACAAUAUGAAUAAUUUCAUAUUAACAAUUGAACAAGAAAUAACAUGGUUAUAUUGCAGGUAUAUCAUGUCGUCAUCCAAUGUGAAUAAGGGUAAGGGUAUUUCGAGCAGACUCACAUUUCAAAAUAAAAAGGUGUGAUUGUGGCAAGCGUGCUGCCGUGAGAAUUUCGGAGUCUACAAGCAACAAAGAGAAGCUCUACUACAAUUGUGAGGAUAAAAAAUGUGAAUUCUUUGCCUGGUGUCACCCUACAAAUGAUGUGCCUUCUAUCACGAAGGCUUCGCUCGCAAAACUUGAAGAUGACAUGAAAUACAUUAAGCAUUUGUUGGAAAAGCUAAAUGCCUUGCUACUUUUUGUUUGUUUAUUAUUUGUUAUUUUAUUAGCACUACUUAUCCAGAGAAAGUAGGUGGUUGAAAUUGUAAUGUUGCUAGCUAGCUUAGGUAAUUUUAUUUGCCUUUAGACAUGUGAACGCACGCCUGUUUUCUAGCCUAAUUGAUUUGGGCUAGGAACUUUUUAUGUGGUUUUUUGGUGGCCCUCUAAUUUUGUUCCUUUUGGAGAAUGAAGAUGACUGCGCCUGGAGGAGGGGGGGAGAGCACGGCUACUUGUAUUGUGGUUUAAUGACCUUUAGAUGGGGGCUUUUAUAUUGUGUACGGCUAUUAUAAGUAAACUCGAUUUGUGACUAUGUCCAACUUUUAUUUUUCUUGUUGAUGCUAG